AGUGAACGCUGGCGGUAGGCCUAACACAUGCGAGUCGAACGGCAGCACAGUAAGAGCUUGCUCUUACGGGUGGCGAGUGGCGGACGGGUGAGGAAUACAUCGGAAUCUACUUUUUCGUGGGGGAUAACGUAGGGAAACUUACGCUAAUACCGCAUACGACCUACGGGUGAAAGCAGGGGAUCUUCGGACCUUGCGCGAUUGAAUGAGCCGAUGUCGGAUUAGCUAGUUGGCGGGGUAAAGGCCCACCAAGGCGACGAUCCGUAGCUGGUCUGAGAGGAUGAUCAGCCACACUGAAACUGAGACACGGUCCAGACUCCUACGGGAGGCAGCAGUGGGGAAUAUUGGACAAUGGGCGCAAGCCUGAUCCAGCCAUACCGCGUGGGUGAAGAAGGCCUUCGGGUUGUAAAGCCCUUUUGUUGGGAAAGAAAAGCAGCAGGUUAAUACCCCGCUGUUCUGACGGUACCCAAAGAAUAAGCACCGGCUAACUUCGU
RNAcentral lists this ribosomal RNA (491 nucleotides) under uncultured bacterium. Its description in RNAcentral is "partial 16S ribosomal RNA". It matches the Rfam family "Bacterial small subunit ribosomal RNA", at positions 29 to 506 of the family's 1533-position model. The record is from RNAcentral.